Long non-coding RNA from Hemicordylus capensis (graceful crag lizard), 5880 nucleotides. RefSeq lists it as uncharacterized. The record is from RefSeq and is a predicted model, not a curated record. The transcript has 3 exons. NCBI's taxonomy places the organism in Eukaryota, Metazoa, Chordata, Lepidosauria, Squamata, Cordylidae.
GCAACGGGGGAGCAAGGACAGAAGAAAGAGGUGCAGAAGGAGGAAGAGGAACAAGCAGGAAGGCGCCAGCGGAGGAGACGUGAAAAGAAGCAGGAGGAGACCGGCUCUCCAGGAGCUUAGCAGAAGAAACGGGCAGGCUGUGCUUCCACCGGGCGGACGGCUUCAUUUCGCUCCCUCUCUCGGCCACUGAUCACUCUGCGUGGGGCUGCAGCUGGCCUUGCAGCGUGGCAUUCCUGGUGCUGGACUUCAUGUCUUUGCACUCAGGAGCCCUGACAGGGGUGGGAGUGCGGCCUUCUCAGGCCGCCCUGAAUCUCUCUGCACCGAGUCCCUUGCCAUUGGGUGGGAGGUGGCUUGCUCCUGCUGGACCUGAAGUAUGUGCGCUGAGCCGCCCCUGGAUGGGACUGGGGGUAUUGCUUUUUCGCGCCACUGCUUUCUGUAUGUGCGCUGAGCUGCCCCUGGGUAGGCUGGCCUGGGGGUGUUGCUUCCUCGCGCCGAGCCUUAGAGGUAUGUGCGCUGAGCCGCCCCUGGUCGGGGCUGGGGGCGUUAGCUUUCUCACGCCGAGCUUGAUGCCAUGUGCGCUGAGCCUGCCCCUGGCUGGGCUCAGCUUGGGGGUGUUGCUUCCUCUCGCGCCGAGCCUUCGGGUAUGUGCGCUGAGCCGCCCCGGGCUGGGGCUGGGAGCGUUGCUUUGUGCUGCCAGGCCUUAUGUCUCUGCACUGAGCCGCCCCAGUGAGGGCUGGGGGCGUUGCUUCCUCUCGCCACGAGCUUCACGUCUUUGCUCUGAGAAGCCCCUCAUUUGGCCAGGGGGUGGCUCUCUCCAAGCCUUGCUGCCUGACUUUGCCCUUCAUGCUCCCAGUGGUGUUGAGCUGGCCACUCCGGCCUGCCCACGGAGCAAGCUCGGGACGGUAGAAGUGUGGCCUCCCGGACCUCUUCCAGCAGCAGCAGCAGCCUCUGCUGGCUGAAGGCACACGCCUGACGCUUGGUGUGCUCACGCUCCUCCUUGGCUUGGGCUCUUGCGUGAGCAGGGCUGCUCCUCAAGAAGGCCUUCUGAAGAGGGAAAAGAGUCAAGAGCUGCGAGAAGCUGAUCUCUUGCCUUGGGAGGCAAAGGAGAGAAAGGGCAGAAGAAAGAAGUGCCGCAGGCUGGCGAAAGAGAAGCCGCAAGGAGCAACAGGAGGAGACCUGGACGGGGAAGAAGGAGGCGGAGAAGACUGGCUCUCAAGCAGCUUCACAGAAGGAAGAAGGGGGAGCUUCCGCUCCCACCAGCUGGAGGGCCUCAUUGCUGCCCUUCUCUCUGCUCCGUCUCCCUGAGUAGCCACUGGUUUGGGAGGGGCGUGGACAGAACAGGAUGGACUCGGUGUCCAUCCGCUCAGUGGCCCUUUCUUGAACUGGGCUGCGGCUUUCUUGUGCUGGACUUCAUGUCUCUGCACUUGGGGAGCCCUACAAAUAGUGAGAGGGUGGCCCUCAUAGGGGCCAUCCAAGGGGCAGCCCCUAUUUCAGCUGAGGUGUGGCUUUCUCGGGCUGGACUUUAUGUCUUUGCACUGGGGAACCCUACGACUGUGGGAGCGUGGCCUUCUUGGUGUCUGUAUACUGGAGAAGCCCGGAUUGGUCUGGGGAGUGGCCUUCUCGUGCUGGACUUUACGUCUUUGCACUGGGGAGCCCUACAAAUAGUGAGAGGGUGGCCCUCAUAGGUGCCAUCCAAGGGGCAGCCCCUAUUUCAGCUGAGGUGUGGCUUUCUCGGGCUGGACUUUAUGUCUUUGCACUGGGGAGCCCUACGACUGUGGGAAGUGUCUGUAUACUGGAGAACUCCUGAUUUGUCUGGGGGCGUGUUUCUCGUGCUGGACUUCACGUCUCUGCACUGGGGAGCCCUACAAAUAGUGAGAGGGUGGCCCUUGUAGGGGCCGUACACGGAGCAGCCCCCAUUUCGGCUGAGGUGUGGCUUUCUCGUGCUGGACUUUAUGUCUUUGCACUGGGGAGCCCUACGACUGUGGGAAGUGUCUGUAUACUGGAGAAGCCCGGAUUGGUCUGGGGAGUGGCCUUCUCGUGCUGGACUUCACGUCUCUGCACUGGGGAGCCCUACAAAUAGUGAGAGGGUGGCCCUCGUAGGGGCCGUACACGGAGCAGCCCCCAUUUCGGCUGAGGUGUGGCUUUCUCGUGCUGGACUUCACGUCUUUGCACUGCGGAGCCCUACAAUUGUGGGAGCGUGGCCUCUUUUUGAUUAUUAUUAUUUUGACAUUUCUAGCCCGCUCUUCUUCCCAGGAGCCCAAAGCGGUGUACUGCAUACUUGUUUCCCCCCCUCCCACAACAACCCUGUGAGUAGGUUAGGCUGAGAGAGAAGCGACUGGCCCAGAGUCACCCAGCUAGUAGCAUGGCUGAAUGGGGAUUUGGACUCGAGUCUCCCCGGUCCUAGUAAACUAGGGAACCCCUGAUUUGGCUGUGGUGCCGGUUUCACGUGCUGGACUUCACGUCUUUGCACUGGGGAGCCCUACAAUGGUAAGAGUAUGGCCAUCGUAGUGGCUGUAUACUGGGGACCCCCGAUUUGGCUGGGGAGCGGCUUUCUCAUGCUGGACUUCACGUCCUGGCCCUGGGGAGCCCCGAAAGAGGUGGGAGUAUGUCCUCCCCAGACGAGCCUGAGUGUCUGUAUGCUGCGUGGCUGCUCAUUUAUCCGCAGGGUGCCGUUCCUCGCUGCGUGACUUUGCCCUUCAUCUUGCAAGUGGUGAUGAGUUGGCAUCUCCCAACUGCCCCGUCCCUAGUCUUCAGCUUGGCGCGCCCUGCCCACGGAGAAAGCCAGGGACGGUGGAAGUGCGGCAUCCAUGACCUCUUCAAGCAGCGUGGUGUGCCGAGGAGCGGGCCCUGCUGGCUGGCUGAAGAAGGCACACGAAGGCAACGGGGGAGCAAGGACAGAAGAAAGAGGUGCAGGAGGAGGAAGAGGAACAAGCAGGAAGGCGCCAGCGGAGGAGACGUGAAAAGAAGCAGGAGGAGACCGGCUCUCCAGGAGCUUAGCAGAAGAAACGGGCAGGCUGUGCUUCCACCGGGCGGACGGCUUCAUUUCGCUCCCUCUCUGGGCCACUGAUCACUCUGCGUGGGGCUGCAGCUGGCCCUGCAGCGUGGCAUUCCUGGUGCUGGACUUCAUGUCUUUGCACUCAGGAGCCCUGACAGGGGUGGGAGUGCGGCCUUCUCAGGCCGCCCUGAAUCUCUCUGCACCGAGUCCCUUGCCAUUGGGUGGGAGGUGGCUUGCUCCUGCUGGACCUGAAGUAUGUGUGCUGAGCCGCCCCUGGAUGGGACUGGGGGUAUUGCUUUUUCGCGCCACUGCUUUCUGUAUGUGCGCUGAGCUGCCCCUGGGUAGGCUGGCCUGGGGGUGUUGCUUCCUCGCGCCGAGCCUUAGAGGUAUGUGCGCUGAGCCGCCCCUGGUCGGGGCUGGGGGCGUUAGCUUUCUCACGCCGAGCUUGAUGCCAUGUGCGCUGAGCCUGCCCCUGGCUGGGCUCAGCUUGGGGGUGUUGCUUCCUCUCGCGCCGAGCCUUCGGGUAUGUGCGCUGAGCCGCCCCGGGCUGGGGCUGGGAGCGUUGCUUUGUGCUGCCAGGCCUUAUGUCUCUGCACUGAGCCGCCCCAGUGAGGGCUGGGGGCGUUGCUUCCUCUCGCCACGAGCUUCACGUCUUUGCUCUGAGAAGCCCCUCAUUUGGCCAGGGGGUGGCUCUCUCCAAGCCUUGCUGCCUGACUUUGCCCUUCAUGCUCCCAGUGGUGUUGAGCUGGCCACUCCGGCCUGCCCACGGAGCAAGCUCGGGACGGUAGAAGUGUGGCCUCCCGGACCUCUUCCAGCAGCAGCAGCAGCCUCUGCUGGCUGAAGGCACACGCCUGACGCUUGGUGUGCUCACGCUCCUCCUUGGCUUGGGCUCUUGCGUGAGCAGGGCUGCUCCUCAAGAAGGCCUUCUGAAGAGGGAAAAGAGUCAAGAGCUGCGAGAAGCUGAUCUCUUGCCUUGGGAGGCAAAGGAGAGAAAGGGCAGAAGAAAGAAGUGCCGCAGGCUGGCGAAAGAGAAGCCGCAAGGAGCAACAGGAGGAGACCUGGACGGGGAAGAAGGAGGCGGAGAAGACUGGCUCUCAAGCAGCUUCACAGAAGGAAGAAGGGGGAGAUUCCGCUCCCACCAGCUGGAGGGCCUCAUUGCUGCCCUUCUCUCUGCUCUGUCUCCCUGAGUGGAGGAUGAUUUACCUGGAGCCUGGCUGCUUCAGGAGGCUUGGGAUGUCCCUGCCCUGAGUAGCCACUGGUUUGGGAGGGGCGUGGACAGAACAGGAUGGACUCGGUGUCCAUCCGCUCAGUGGCCCUUUCUUGAACUGGGCUGCGGCUUUCUCGUGCUGGACUUCAUGUCUCUGCACUUGGGGAGCCCUACAAAUAGUGAGAGGGUGGCCCUCAUAGGGGCCAUCCAAGGGGCAGCCCCUAUUUCAGCUGAGGUGUGGCUUUCUCGGGCUGGACUUUAUGUCUUUGCACUGGGGAGCCCUACGACUGUGGGAGCGUGGCCUUCUUGGUGUCUGUAUACUGGAGAAGCCCGGAUUGGUCUGGGGAGUGGCCUUCUCGUGCUGGACUUUACGUCUUUGCACUGGGGAGCCCUACAAAUAGUGAGAGGGUGGCCCUCAUAGGUGCCAUCCAAGGGGCAGCCCCUAUUUCAGCUGAGGUGUGGCUUUCUCGGGCUGGACUUUAUGUCUUUGCACUGGGGAGCCCUACGACUGUGGGAAGUGUCUGUAUACUGGAGAAGCCCGGAUUGGUCUGGGGAGUGGCCUUCUCGUGCUGGACUUCACGUCUCUGCACUGGGGAGCCCUUCAAAUAGUGAGAGGGUGGCCCUUGUAGGGGCCGUACACGGAGCAGCCCCCAUUUCGGCUGAGGUGUGGCUUUCUCGUGCUGGACUUUAUGUCUUUGCACUGGGGAGCCCUACGACUGGGAAGUGUCUGUAUACUGGAGAAGCCCGGAUUGGUCUGGGGAGUGGCCUUCUCGUGCUGGACUUCACGUCUCUGCACUGGGGAGCCCUACAAAUAGUGAGAGGGUGGCCCUCGUAGGGGCCGUACACGGAGCAGACCCCAUUUCGGCUGAGGUGUGGCUUUCUCGUGCUGGACUUCACGUCUUUGCACUGCGGAGCCCUACAAUUGUGGGAGCGUGGCCUCUUUUUGAUUAUUAUUAUUUUGACAUUUCUAGCCUGCUCUUCUUCCCAGGAGCCCAAAGCGGUGUACUGCAUACUUGUUUCCCCCCCGUCCCACAACAACCCUGUGAGUAGGUUAGGCUGAGAGAGAAGCGACUGGCCCAGAGUCACCCAGCUAGUAGCAUGGCUGAAUGGGGAUUUGGACUCGAGUCUCCCCGGUCCUAGUAAACUAGGGAACCCCUGAUUUGGCUGUGGUGCCGGUUUCACGUGCUGGACUUCACGUCUUUGCACUGGGGAGCCCUACAAUGGUAAGAGUAUGGCCAUCGUAGUGGCUGUAUACUGGGGACCCUCGAUUUGGCCGGAGAGCGGCUUUCUCAUGCUGGACUUCACGUCCUGGCCCUGGGGAGCCCCAAAAGAGGUGGGAGUAUGUCCUCCCCAGACGAGCCUGAGUGUCUGUAUGCUGCGUGGCUGCUCAUUUAUCCGCAGGGUGCCGUUCCUCGCUGCGUGACUUUGCCCUUCAUCUUGCAAGUGGUGAUGAGUUGGCAUCUCCCAACUGCCCCGUCCCUAGUCUUCAGCUUGGCGCGCCCUGCCCACGGAGAAAGCCAGGGACGGUGGAAGUGCGGCAUCCAUGACCCCUUCAAGCAGCGUGGUGUGCCGAGGAGCGGGCCCUGCUGGCUGGCUGAAGAAGGCACACGGAGGAAAAGGGGAGAAAAGACAAAGCAGUACAGAAGGAGGAAGAAAAACAAGCAGAAACGAGAAACAA